Molecule: long non-coding RNA, 3308 nt
Organism: Strigops habroptila (Kakapo)
Lineage: Eukaryota; Metazoa; Chordata; Aves; Psittaciformes; Psittacidae
Source: Ensembl
UCUGUUCAAAACAGUUUAUUGUAUUUUUUCGUCAGACAAACACAUUGAUUUCUGGACCACAGUAGAGGAUGGAAACCUUUCACAAACUUAUUUAUUUGAAAAUACAAAUAUAAAAUUAUACUUUCCACAUCUGUGAUGUGAGAGACCCCCAUCCACAUAGUAUUUUACAACAGGGCUUUAGAAAGCCAUACACAGAGACCUGAAAGAUGCUUGAUAUAUAUAGAUACAUAUAUAUAUGUAUAUAUAUAAAAAAAAAGUCACUACCAAAGUUCUCAUCAGUUCAUACUAAAGUAUAAAAGGAAGGGCUAGGCCUGCCACUGUGCCAUAGUUUAUUUAGGUACAUUUAUGACCACCUGAAAUGCUUUAGACUUGCAUCCUAGUACUGAUGGAGUUCAGACCUCGUACAACAGGGGAUGACGGGGGGGUUGCUACCUACGACGGUCGACGCGACACACGAGCCCGCGCGCGGUGUUACGGGUGGGGACGGAGCCGGGGCUGCCCCCUGCUCCGACACGGAGCUCUCGAGACAACACAGUCGGACUGUUUGGGAACCGAGAUCACGAGGAUUUACUUUCUCAAACUACUCUUUUUUUAAGUAUUUUUUUUUUGUUUGUUUUUUGGUAAUUUUAAUUACAGUAUUAAAGUAUUGCUUAGCUUACAGAAUCGCCUCACGUAGUGCUCGCACACGGCAAUGGGCUUGACUUGGAUUCUGUACGUAUGAAACUCUACAGUGUCUGUGCGCAGACCGGGAUCUGCCGGUGUGUCUUCGAUGCAUCCUGUCUCUUCACCUUACACUAACUUCACUUUUCUGUUUUGAACUAGUUCACUUAAAAAAGAAAAAAACAACCCCAAACCACUAAAACAAAGAAAUAAUUCAGAAAAUUCCACCCAAGAGACAUUUCCAUAGCAUAAAAGACAGCUAUGAGUUAGUGUUGUUUGUUUUUUGUAAACAGUUUCAUAUGCAAUAUCAUACAUAACCAUGGCUGGCCUUCAGUAAAAAUGUAGUAAACUAUAUUGCUUUAUUAUUGAUUAUGUUGCAUUGAGUGAAUGGCAGAAACGAAACAGGAAGGUAACUGUGGCUGGAGUCGCUAGCCCUCAUUCACACUACAGAUGAAAACAGCAUCCUAGGCUUCCGAGCGGGGAAGAAAAGAAAUCUGAACACCUUUCAGGUCGUUAUUACCAACAAUGAUGGUUGAACUAGCCUAGCAAGAUGUGUAACAUUCACUGCUGUACAAUGGAAAAAAAAUCAACUUACAGCAAAGAGAGCCAUGCUACCUUAAAGUCCAAGCUACAAAUUCAACUUAGAAUGAACAGUGAUGGAGGAGAGAAAAAUUAAAACAGGACAGAUCAGGCUUCAUUUUAAUCAAGCCCAGGGCAAAGGGCUGCUUUAGUUUGAAACGGAGGGUACCCAAGCUCCUGGGCUUGCUCUUACAUGUCCCUUGUGCCUGGGAUACAGCCCAUCCCAUGGCACAGGAGCGCUGGGCAGGGGCUGACCCUCCCGCAGUGCUUUGGGGUGCCCAUUUCACACAGCUUAGAUGGAAAUCUUGCUCUUUUUGGUCACACUCUGAGGGUAGCAGGACCCUGAGAAAGGGCAACAUCCCUCAGGCCGAGCCUUCACUCGCUGUGCUUGACUAAAACAAAGGUGAAACUGCACCUUUGUGCCAAAAAAUUGAUAAAACUCCCUAAACAAAGAAAGAACAAACCAAAACCCCCUUCGAAAUGGAUUUCUAGAUGAGUGGGGGGGACUAACGUGAACCUUAAGUCUAGGUAGCCACAUCAAAACAUAUCGGAUUCCACGACAUUUGUGCUAUGGGCCACUGGGACUUCUCAAAAGGUAUAUAAACAUCUAAAACAUAUUCACACAGAUUAGCAAUUUCUUCUGAGCAUUCUUAAAAAAAUAUGGUUUUUUUUUUUUUUGUUUUUCUCUUAGUAAAAUCAUUUUUAAUAUACCGUGCCUCCCUCUGUUAAAAAAUAAAUUAAAAAAAUCCAGUUUUGCAUAUCUAGCGUUAGCAUUUAAGGUAGUAUGGCACAUCCCCUCUCAAAGUCAAGGGGGGGGAUCUACAAAUGCCUUAAAGAGUUUGCCAGCAUUUUUAACAUUGUGAGACCUUUGGUUAGUUGAAACCGCAUCAGAUCAGCAAAAGAAAAGAGAAACCAAGAAAGUAAAAUAAUCAAAGGAAAGAGGAAAGAAAAAAAAGAACAAACAAAAAAAAGAGGAAAACCUUCCCAAAAUUAUUAGCAAUUUUUUCCUUAAAUAAGAGAAAGUUCUAUCCUUACUGGUCCUAAAUCUGAAUAACUACAUCUAAAUUUAUAACCUUAAUUACGAUACACCUACCAAAUAUGUACUAGAAGAGGAAGAGAGAAAGAGGGGGGGAGAAAUUCACUACACUAGCAUCAGGACAGCACUCUUACAAGAUAGCAUUUUAUACACUAUUAACAUACAACAAUGAUCAACAAAGAAGAGUCUAUGAGGUGACAGGGAAUGGAGAGGAAAACCAACUGGUAGUACAGUACAUCAUCAACAUUGACAAAAUAGCAAUAAAAAAUUCCCUGAUGGUACAUUGAAUUCCAGGGAAUUUGGUUUGUAGGUUUCUUUUAUUUUUUUUUUUUUUAUUUUUUUUAACAUUUUUAUUUUUUAAAGAAUUGUUUCAUUUCUUUUAUUACUUGAUCAAGUCUCAAUAGUUAAAAAGCGUCCAGCAUUUUGCUUAAACCUGGUUGUUCGGAAAUAAGAAAAAAACCUAAAAUAUUACAUAAAAAGCAUGAUUCUUUCUCUUUUUUGUCUGUUUAAAAACAAGAAAAACAAGGUUUUCUCCUUUCGGUUAGCAGUAUGGUGCCUUGUUUUUGUUAAAGAUGCCUUGCUCUACCUUGUCUAGUGAACGUCUACGUUAAGUCUACUUGUUAGUAAAGUUUACAAAAAUAGGAGUGCAGCAGCUCUUUUUAACAAAUGUCGCAUUCAGUGUCUUGUACUGCCUGUACCUAAAGUACCAAAUUUAUAAACGUAACAAGUUAAAAAAAUAGCAAGAAAACUUGUCAAGAUCACGUUAAAAAAAGAAGAACUCUAUCCACGCUACAGUAUGUUCGUAAUGCCACCUCUACCAGGUUGUACUUCUAGGUUGCUGUUUGCAGGCCUAUCGACCAAUAUUACAAAACUUAAAUUAAAAAAUAUCCUUCAUUAAGUUUCCUCCCCCGACAGAGGACCAUAUAUAUAACAGCCAAAUAUUAAACAUGUGCAAAUAGGAAACUGUCAGUUUUUCCCCUACCAGUCACAGUGCAAUGAUGUUUUUUUUUAUACUUUAUUUUUUUUAUUUUUA